ACGUGAGUAAGUCCUUUCCGAAACGAAUGAUGCUACCUUGAGGUAGGUGGGACAAAGUAGGGAAGGGGUCACAU
RNAcentral lists this non-coding RNA (74 nucleotides) under unclassified sequences. Its description in RNAcentral is "DUF3800-X RNA". It matches the Rfam family "DUF3800-X RNA". The record is from Rfam by way of RNAcentral.